AAACUUUCAACAACGGAUCUCUUGGUUCCGGCANAGANGAAGAACGCAGCGAAAUGCGAUAAGUAAUGUGAAUUGCAGAAUUCAGUGAAUCAUCGAGUCUUUGAACGCACAUUGCGCCCCCUGGUAUUCCGGGGGGCAUGCCUGUCCGAGCGUCAUU
Molecule: ribosomal RNA, 157 nt
Filed under: Aspergillus fumigatus
Lineage: Eukaryota; Fungi; Ascomycota; Eurotiomycetes; Eurotiales; Aspergillaceae
Description: 5.8S ribosomal RNA
Rfam family: 5.8S ribosomal RNA
About the family: 5.8S ribosomal RNA (5.8S rRNA) is a component of the large subunit of the eukaryotic ribosome.
Source: RNAcentral